CAGUAGCCGCGGUAGUACGUAGGGUGCAAGCGUUAAUCGGAAUUACUGGGCGUAAAGCGUGCGCAGGCGGUUCGCUAAGACAGAUGUGAAAUCCCCGGGCUUAACUUGGGAACUGCAUUUGUGACUGGCGGGCUAGAGUAUGGCAGAGGGGGGUAGAAUUCCACGUGUAGCAGUGAAAUGCGUAGAGAUGUGGAGGAAUACCGAUGGCGAAGGCAGCCCCCUGGGCCAAUACUGACGCUCAUGCACGAAAGCGUGGGGAGCGAACAGGAUUAGAUACCCGCGUAGUCCCUGUCUCUUAUAC
Molecule: ribosomal RNA, 301 nt
Filed under: uncultured bacterium
Lineage: Bacteria
Description: partial 16S ribosomal RNA
Rfam family: Bacterial small subunit ribosomal RNA
Source: RNAcentral